GAUGAACGCUGGCGGUCUGCCUAACACAUGCAAGUCGAACGAACUCUUCGGAGUGAGUGGCGGACGGGUGAGUAACGCGUGAGAAUCUGCCUGUGGGUCGGGGACAACCACUGGAAACGGUGGCUAAUACCGGAUGAGCCGAAAGGUAAAGAUUUAUUGCCCACAGAUGAGCUCGCGUCUGAUUAGCUAGUUGGUAAGGUAAAAGCGUACCAAGGCGACGAUCAGUAGCUGGUCUGAGAGGAUGAGCAGCCACACUGGGACUGAGACACGGCCCAGACUCCUACGGGAGGCAGCAGUGGGAAUAUUGGUCAAUGGGUGAGAGCCUGAACCGGCCAUGCCGCGUGCAGGAUGACGGCCCUAUGGGUU
Molecule: ribosomal RNA, 366 nt
Filed under: uncultured bacterium
Lineage: Bacteria
Description: bacterial SSU rRNA
Rfam family: Bacterial small subunit ribosomal RNA
Source: RNAcentral